Molecule: long non-coding RNA, 1009 nt
Organism: Cyprinodon tularosa
Lineage: Eukaryota; Metazoa; Chordata; Actinopteri; Cyprinodontiformes; Cyprinodontidae
Exons: 3
Source: RefSeq, a predicted model, not a curated record
CUAUAAGUUGCAGUGCCGGCGAUUUGGAAACCUGUACCCCUGCUACAACACAAACAGGUCUUUUUAUCCCUCCAGAGAAGAUGAGAGCAACUUUGUUUAUUAGUCUCAUGUGCUCCUAUGCCCUGGUUUUGGCUAAAAAAGAGGAUGAGCUAGAGCUGGUAAGCUACAAUUCUAAACCAUGUCAGAGGACCUUUAACACUAUUGCCUACCAAGCUUUUCGAGACAAACACAUAAUUCAGAUGUCCUUUAACGCCUUAUCAAAGCCUGGUUGGAAAAAUUAUUUGCAGCAAAUGAGACUCUGUAACCGACCUAUACAGUCCUUUGUGGAGAUAAGCGAUGAAACCCGUAUUCUACAGAUCUGCAAUGGCUUUGGCUGGUGGCAGACAGGCAAUUUAUGCACAAGUAACACAUCAUUUUUGCUUUAUGGUUUAAGAGUAUCCAUCAGCAAUUGUAGCGUUAAGUUGCUGACCAUAAGUUAUCAAUAUGUAACUGUGGCUUGUGAUAAGAUAAACAGUAAAUGCGUUCCUGUACACUUUCAGGGAAAUCAAACCAUACCGGCAUAUAAUCAAUCACAACGCUGCAAACCUUAAAUACUAAAGCACUGAAAUCUUUUAUUAUCAGAUUUUAAAAAUAUGUUUUUCUCUUUCCAAAUAUUAAAACUUCCAGCUUUGAGAAAUGUAUUAUCCAUCACUAAAUUGGCUAUGUAUAUACAUGUGUGAUAUGGUACUGCGGAAACCUUCUGUUUGUAUUGAUUAUCUUAUUUAAAAACUAAUCAUAUCUUUUUGGAGCUUAGAAGUUUGUUUCUUAUCUAUUUGUAACUUCGACCGAUUUUUUUUUUUAGACACUGUGAGAACUAAACGAAAACGGAGCCUCUAACAGAAGUUAAAAAAUGUAAUUUUUGUUUGCAUGAUGAUAAGAAAAAUCUGAUUGAUGUAUUUUCUGUGUGGAGAAAUCUUAUUUUUAAAAUGUAAACUUUUUUGCCCUUUGUUAAAAAUAAAAUAAAGCCUUA